UGCGUAGGCGGGGGAUUAAGUCAGUGGUGAAAUCCUACAGCUUAACUGUAGAACUGCCAUUGAUACUGGUUUUCUUGAGUAUAGUUGAAGUGGGCGGAAUGUGUAUUGUAGCGGUGAAAUGCUUAGAUAUUACACAGAACACCUAUUGCGAAGGCAGCUCACUAAACUAAUACUGACGCUGAGGCACGAAAGCGUGGGGAGCGAACAGGAUUAGAUACCCUGGUAGUCC
RNAcentral lists this ribosomal RNA (229 nucleotides) under uncultured bacterium. RNAcentral describes it as "partial 16S ribosomal RNA". It matches the Rfam family "Bacterial small subunit ribosomal RNA", at positions 568 to 796 of the family's 1533-position model. The record is from RNAcentral.